GGAUCAUUACCGAGUUUACAACUCCCAAACCCCUGUGAACAUACCUAUUGUUGCCUCGGCGGUGCCUGUUCCGACAGCCCGCCAGAGGACCCCAAACCCUGAUUACAUUUAAGAAGUCUUCUGAGUAACCGAUUAAAUAAAUCAAAACUUUCAACAACGGAUCUCUUGGUUCUGGCAUCGAUGAAGAACGCAGCGAAAUGCGAUAAGUAAUGUGAAUUGCAGAAUUCAGUGAAUCAUCGAAUCUUUGAACGCACAUUGCGCCCGCUAGUAUUCUGGCGGGCAUGCCUGUUCGAGCGUCAUUUCAACCCUCAAGCCCCCGGGCUUGGUGUUGGGGAUCGGCGAGCCUCCGCGCCCGCCGUCCCCCAAAUCUAGUGGCGGUCUCGCUGUAGCUUCCUCUGCGUAGUAGCACACCUCGCACUGGGAAACAGCGCGGCCACGCCGUUAAACCCCCAACUUCUGAAAGUUGACCUCG
This 472-nucleotide ribosomal RNA is filed under the name Dactylonectria estremocensis. Its description in RNAcentral is "eukaryotic LSU rRNA". The stretch from base 146 to 299 matches the Rfam family "5.8S ribosomal RNA". Lineage: Eukaryota; Fungi; Ascomycota; Sordariomycetes; Hypocreales; Nectriaceae. The record is from RNAcentral.